RNAcentral lists this ribosomal RNA (522 nucleotides) under uncultured bacterium. RNAcentral describes it as "partial 16S ribosomal RNA". It matches the Rfam family "Bacterial small subunit ribosomal RNA", at positions 28 to 523 of the family's 1533-position model. The record is from RNAcentral.
GACGAACGCUGGCGGCGUGCCUAAUACAUGCAAGUCGAACGAAGCUGUUUUAACUGGUGCUUGCACCGACUUAAACAACUGAGUGGCGAACGGGUGAGUAACACGUGGACAACCUGCCUCAAGGCUGGGGAUAACAUUUGGAAACAGAUGCUAAUACCGAAUAAAACUCAGUGUCGCAUGACACAAAGUUAAAAGGCGCUUUGGCGUCACCUAGAGAUGGAUCCCCGGUGCAUUAGUUAGUUGGUGGGGUAAAGGCCUACCAAGACAAUGAUGCAUAGCCGAGUUGAGAGACUGAUCGGCCACAUUGGGACUGAGACACGGCCCAAACUCCUACGGGAGGCUGCAGUAGGGAAUCUUCCACAAUGGGCGAAAGCCUGAUGGAGCAACGCCGCGUGUGUGAUGAAGGCUUUCGGGUCGUAAAGCACUGUUGUAUGGGAAGAACAGCUAGAAUAGGGAAUGAUUUUAGUUUGACGGUACCAUACCAGAAAGGGACGGCUAAAUACGUGCCAGCAGCCGCCGCAG